This 5222-nucleotide long non-coding RNA is filed under the name Nicotiana tabacum (common tobacco). RNAcentral describes it as "long non-coding RNA (NTAB_LNC017452)". The record is from RNAcentral. Lineage: Eukaryota; Viridiplantae; Streptophyta; Magnoliopsida; Solanales; Solanaceae.
AAGAAGGGAAGACGAAGGGGAAGAGAUUCAGAUUGAUGGACACAACACAAGCAAUGUUAAUGAGACCAGAUGGUCAUCCAAGUAAAUAUGGGCAUUGGCCAAAUGCGAAUGUGGUAUUGUACAAUGACUGUGUUCAUUGGUGCUUGCCUGGUCCUAUUGAUUCUUGGGCUGAUUUCUUGUUUCAUAUGUUCAAGAUGGAGGGCACCAGAUCCCUAGAGGAAAAGCUUCAAUGAGGAGCUAAACAAUACAAUGUACUCUGAUUUUUUAUUUGUUCAAUUUAUUCUAGGAUUGUUGUUGUGAUUUAAAGAGGAACUCUGUUUCUUGGAUAGUUAUGGUUGAUGUGAAGAUGUAACCAUAGCACUGCUAGAAAAGUGAAAAAAAGAAAAGCCUUGUUGCAUUUUAUAGAGCUAAUGAUAUUUCUCCCCAUUGACCAAAGAGUAUAUAUGGUUGCUUGCUGCAGCUAUUGAUCAAGACUGCACUAUGAUUCCAGUUUGACCAAUUUUGUAUUUUGCCCAUCAAAUUUCAGCGUUUGGUUCACCUUAAUCUCAAACUUUCUACUUUCUACCGGAGACAACUAAUCAGUCACCACACGUUAUGCCAAAUAAGUGUUUUACAACACUAGUGGUAUUUAUGAGACACCCAACCCACCGACAAUUUUCCUCCCUCUAUUUCUAGUACCACCACCAUUGCAUAUUGUACCACCACAUUUUCUCCUUCAACCCAUUCGCUGCCUAGAAUUUCACAAAUCCGCAGAAGCGUGACAGAGAGCUAAAAGUCAUUUAUAACAAAUGAGUAGUUCUAGGCUGUGGGGACUUUUUAUAGUAUUUUAAACUUUUGGAUUAAUAUGCUUAAAUGUUUUACGGAAGGUACAAAUGACUAAUUUUGUAAGAUUUAGAGAUAACUUUGAACUUUUUCUGACCAAGGUUGAAUUAGGGGGAAUUGUACUUAUAAUGGGAUUAGCACAUUCACCGAGUCAACAUAGAUGUAAAACUACAUGCACUAUGUAUUUUUAACAGUUUACCUUUGCUCCUUUCUCCCAUCUCUAAUUUCCUUUUCAACUCUCCAUUGAAGCAGUUCACAGAAAUGGAGCUUCCCUUUGGGAAAUACUCCACUUCAGCUCAAAGAACUCCAAGAAUAUUUCUACUUAUAGUUUUAGCAGUUACAGUUCUGGGUCUUAUCCCUCUUUACCACCCCUUUAAUUGGUACCCAGCAGAUUUAGUAACCCAAUAUCCAUCUGAAAUUUCACCCACAUACCAUGCUGAGGAGCGAAAGAUAAAGAUUAAAGAACCCAAGACUUGCGAUAUUUUCAGUGGAGAAUGGGUUAGGAAUCCGGAUGCUCCAUAUUAUACGAAUAUGACCUGCUCUGAAAUCCAUGAGCACCAAAAUUGUAUGAAGUAUGGUAGACCUGAUAGUGAUUACUUGAAGUGGAGGUGGAAGCCUAGUGGAUGUGAGCUCCCCAUUUUUAACCCGUUUCAGUUUUUGGAUAUGGUCAGAAACAAGUCUUUGGCAAUUGUCGGUGACUCAGUUGGAAGAAACCACAUGCAGUCCUUGAUUUGCCUCCUGGGCCGGGUACCAUUCUCUCCUCUGCAAUUUUUAUUAAUUUUGUUUAAGCUUUUUAUUUUCUUCCAUUUGCAUAGACUGUACUUGCUGGCAGGGCGAAUGUAGUUACUAGGUUUUAAUUGAAUUCAAAACUUUUGACGCGGAGUAAAAAUUUAAAUGUAAAAAUUCAUAAUAGAUAUGAAUUUAUAAUUUUAAAAAUAUAAUAAGUUUAAUACUAAAAAUUUUGUAAGUUAAACCCAUUAGAUUUAAAUUCUGAAUCCGCAUCUAGUUGUCGGUGUGUGGUAAAUUAUUUGCUUCUACUAUAUUCUUUUAUAGUUUAUCUUAGUUUGGUGAAAACUCUAGUUUGGAUUAGCUAGUUGGAUGCACUUUGCUUAGCUUGUUGAUGCAUAAUGGUUAAUAGAAGAUUUGGUCUACCUAAGGGCUAAGGCUAGAGCUUUCCAAGAUUUUGGUGAAAUUUUAGUGUUUUAAUUUCCAGAAUAAAGUUGUGACUUCUGAGAUAUAGUAAAAUGUACUCCCUCUCCUCUAAUAAUGUGAGUAUGUGACAACGUUUAAUUGGAGACAACCUUAAAAAGAGUAAAUAAAAAUUUAGAAUUCGUGAUUUAAAACGAAACAUAUUAUUUAUAUGAUAAAACUAAAAAGUUAAAAUUAAAUUAUUUUAAAUAAGAAAAUAUGUGUUUUUUAAAAAUAAUUAAAAGAAUAUGACAUAUAAAUUGAGACAAAAAAGUAUAGGAUUAACGGCAAAUAUGGCCAUUAACAGUAAGAUGGAGGACUGGAAAUGUAAAGUUCUGCACUCACUGAUGAUUUUUCGAUGGAAAGGGUGCACAGAGGGCUUUGGAGUAAGCACAACCUCGUGAGUCGUGAGUAUAAAAUGUGAUGUGAAAGAGUACGACGUCGUAGCACAUCCAACUGCUCAACGGAGAUGCCAGUCUAGUCACAAACCACUGUCAAAUUAAAAUAUAGUAUAUAAUAAUAAAGUCAUUGUCAUUUGGAAAUGAUUUCAUCUAGUCCAAAAAAGUUUGUUCUCAUUUCAUUAUUAAUCAUCCCUCAAAAUAUUAAAAUAACAAAGUACUAUACAAGAGAAAAGAAACGCAGACAAUAGGAGGAACAUCGGGGGCCAGCGUGAAAUUUGUCAUAUUGCUUGUUAAUCCUCAGAAAGUGUCUUGUGUUCCCAAUAAUAUUAUAAUACGACUAUUUAGCUAGAUCCAUGGAGCUUUUCCCCUUAAAAUAAUGUAUCAUGAAAAAUUGUUAGAGAAUGGGGUCAUAACUUGCUCCUUAGAAAUGUAAGACAUAAAAAAGAUAAUUAUGCCCCUCUUGAGAUUUGUUUGACUAAAUCAUUAACAACCAUGAUUAUGGUUCUUAUACGAAUAAUUAACCCAAAUAGUCGUCCACUCAACUGAUUAAACUAAAAAUAGUCGGUGAAGGUUAUAAUAUAUUCACAAUUUAUGUAUUAUAUAUGUAUGUAUAAUUGUGUACAAUGAAUGUAUAAUCUAUAUAUAUGACUUGAAAAAGUAAACAAUGAAUAUGGUUGGUACCAAAAUAAUCUUAUUUUUUUGGUUUUGAUACAACUCUUUAUAGUAAGUCCGGAAUUGCUCCGGACAAUGCGAUGCUUUGCUAAACACCGCUCUAAUUCAUGUGCUAUAGUUAGCGCUAAACUAAUCUAAAGACAAAAUUGAUGGAGUCCAUCUCAUUCAAAAGCCAAAAUAAUAGGCAUGUGCCUAAGGAAAAUACUUGCCUGAGAAUUUCUUUGGUUUGGCGGCCGACGUUGAAUUUCUUUGGUUUGGCAGCCAACAUUGUUGAAUUGUUAACAUUGAAGAAAAAGAAAUAUGUGCAAAUUGUCAAAUAUAGUAGGCUUCACAGAGUGAGGCUUCGGCUAUAAAAGGAGAGUUUCGGCUCUCAUUUCUACACACCAACAAAGAGAGAAAGAAAGAGUGAAGCUUCACAGACAGGAUAUAAGAAAAUAGUCUGUGAGAAAAAUAGAGAGAGUAAACGAUAUUGUAGUGAGGUGAGAAUAUCAAAGGAGGGUUAUUUCUUUUGAGUGUUGUAGUGGUCUUUGGAGUAUUUUACUCGGACUUACAAAGUGAAAAAUUUCUUGCUAUAGUGAUAUCAGUUGCUCAUCCCGAGGCCGUGAUUUUUCCCUUAUUCAAAAGUUUUUUCUCAUUUCAUUAUUAAUCAUCCCUCAAAAAAUUAAAAUAACAAAGUAGGAGUGCUAUACAAGAAAAGAAAAGCAGACAAUAGGAGGAAUUCUUAAUCGUCAGAAAGUCUCUUGUGUUCCCAAUAAUAGUAUAAUAGAGGAAUUUUCAUAAAUCACUCUAGUUUAGAGUCUAGUAACUAUAGUUUGCCUAAUUACUAUUUGUAGCUACUAUUCAAUUGUUACUAAUUUGUAUCACUUGUAUUCAAACGUGCAACGAAUACAACUAGUGUCAACUGUAUUCGUUCACACGAAUAAAACGUGUAUCAACUGUGUUCGUUCGUGCAAUUGUAUUUAUUCGUGCAACGAACACAAUAUGUAUCAACCGUAAACAAGGCGAAAUAUAAGUGUGUAUACAAAGGAUACAACUUAUAUCGACUGUAUACAUGUAUAAAAGGUACAACAUGUAUCGAUUGUAUUUGUUCGCGCAACGAAUACAACUAAGGCGAAAUACAGAAAUACAUAAAAUGUUUUUGUUGAGAUUAGCUUGACUAAAUCAUUAACAACCAUGACCAUUGUUCUUGUAUUAAUCUUAUUUUUUGGUUUAGAUAAAACUCUUUAUAGUAAGCCCGGAAUUGCUCCGGACAAUCGGAUGCUUUGCUAAACACCGCUCUACUUCAUGUCCCAUAGUUAGCACUAGACUAAUCUAAAAACAAAAUCAAGAAGUAAUAAAAAAACUGAUAUGCUUUUUUUACUUCUUUUUGUGUUUUUAGGUGGAAUAUCCUGUUGAUAUCUCUGACAAUCCAGAUCAAUCUUUCAAAAAGUACAAAUACACAACUUACAACUUCACCCUAGCAAUAAAUUGGUCACCAUUUUUGGUUUCAACGAAAGAAGCAGAUGCAGAUGGUCCAUGCCAUACUGGACUCUACAACCUUUACCUAGAUGAAGCAGAUGAGAAGUGGACCACCCUAAUUGGGGGAUAUGACUACAUCAUCUUAAACGCCGGCCACUGGUUUGCCCGGUGCAGUGUCUACUACGAAAACAACCAACUAGUCGGCUGCAGGUAUUGUGGACUGCCAAAUGUUACUGAACUCCCACAUAACUAUGCCUACCAAAGGGCAUUCAGAACUGCUCUUAAAGCUAUCAACGACGUAGAAAAUUUUAAGGGUGUAGCGAUUCUUAGAACUUUUGCACCUUCUCAUUAUGAAGGCGGGGACUGGAAUAAGGGAGGAGAUUGCAUAAAGACAAGGCCAUUCAGAAGUAAUGAGACUGCGUCGGAAGGUCAAAGCUUGGAGCAAUAUAGGAUCCAAGUUGAAGAGUUUAAGGUUGCAGAGAAGGAAGGAAAGAUGAAGGGGAAGAGAUUCAGAUUGAUGGAUACAACACAAGCAAUGUUGUUGAGACCAGAUGGUCACCCAAGUAAAUAUGGGCAUUGGCCUAAUGAAAAUGUGGUAAAUGAUUGUGUUCAUUGGUGCUUGCCUGGUCCUAUUGAUUCUUGGGCUGAUUUCUUGUUUCAUAUGUUCAAGAUGGAAGGCAC